Molecule: ribosomal RNA, 20 nt
Filed under: fungal endophyte
Lineage: Eukaryota; Fungi
Description: partial 28S ribosomal RNA
Source: RNAcentral
AUCAAUAAGCGGAGGAACCU